Long non-coding RNA from Manacus vitellinus (golden-collared manakin), 382 nucleotides. RefSeq lists it as uncharacterized. The record is from RefSeq and is a predicted model, not a curated record. NCBI's taxonomy places the organism in Eukaryota, Metazoa, Chordata, Aves, Passeriformes, Pipridae. The transcript has 3 exons.
UCCAACUGCACUGACUGAUAAACCGGGUGCUUUAUUACUUGUUUCUACCUUGAGUGGCGAGAUUAAACUGAAUUUAAAAGACUAGCAUAAGAGGAGAAGGCAGACAGGGAAUAUUUAUGACCGUCGGAGCAGGGCUGGGUUCCUGGAGACGGGAUAACACGUGGCUUUGUGCUGCCAGACAGAGAGUUCCUUUCGGUGGUCACACCAAUGUUUGUUCAUACUCCCACGGACACCACAACUUUUUUGGAUAAGGAAGAAGAUGAUGGAACACAGAUGAGGGAAAGAAAUGGCCUCAGAGAACUUGGAUACGUGGGGUACUGGAACCUGUGAGGCACUGGGAGCUUAGGAGCAUCUUUUGGAGCCUGCUACAGGCUGGAGGCUG